CAUUAGCGUAUAUUUAAGUUGUUGCAGUUAAAAAGCUCGUAGUCGGAUUUUGGCUGAGAACGAUCGGUCCGCCGUUAGGUGUGCACUGAUUGGUCUCAGCUUCCUGGUGAGGAGGUGUGCUUCACGGCCACUUAGUCACCGUGGUUACUUUGAAAAAAUUAGAGUGUUCAAAGCGGGCUUACGCUUGAAUAUAUUAGCAUGGAAUAACACCAUAGGACUCCUGUCCUACUUCGUUGGUCUCGGGACGGGAGUAAUGAUUAAGAGGAACAGUUGGGGGCAUUCGUAUUCCAUUGUCAGAGGUGAAAUUCUUGGAUUUAUGAAAGACGAACUUCUGCGAAAGCAUUUGCCAAGGAUGUUUUCAUUGA
RNAcentral lists this ribosomal RNA (365 nucleotides) under uncultured eukaryote. RNAcentral's name for it is "partial 18S ribosomal RNA". It matches the Rfam family "Eukaryotic small subunit ribosomal RNA", at positions 592 to 976 of the family's 1831-position model. The record is from RNAcentral.